CAGGUAAGCACAAUACAAAUAAAAAGAUUUAUAAUGAUUCGGUGCCAACCUUGCACCUACGUCCACUCUCCAAGCUUCUACUUGAGAAUUCAGAUCCACUAAACCAUAUUCAACCUGAAUACAACAUCAGAACCUCCGACUCUAGCUAUUCCAAGCUAGAAUACUUAUUUUUUGGGUACAAGCUAACCCAAUAUAAUCUGAUUCA
This 205-nucleotide long non-coding RNA is filed under the name Elaeis guineensis (African oil palm). RNAcentral's name for it is "long non-coding RNA (EGUI_LNC069300)". Lineage: Eukaryota; Viridiplantae; Streptophyta; Magnoliopsida; Arecales; Arecaceae. The record is from RNAcentral.